RNAcentral lists this ribosomal RNA (253 nucleotides) under uncultured bacterium. RNAcentral describes it as "partial 16S ribosomal RNA". It matches the Rfam family "Bacterial small subunit ribosomal RNA", at positions 524 to 776 of the family's 1533-position model. The record is from RNAcentral.
UACGUAGGGGGCGAGCGUUGUCCGGAAUCAUUGGGCGUAAAGAGCGUGUAGGCGGCCCGGUAAGUCCGCUGUAAAAGUCAAAGGCUCAACCUUUGAAUGUCAGUGGAUACUGCCGGGCUAGAGUCCGGAAGAGGCGAGUGGAACUCCUGGUGUAGCGGUGGAAUGCGCAGAUAUCAGGAGGAACACCGAUGGCGAAGGCAGGUCUCUGGGCCACUACUGACGCUGAGAAGCGAAAGCAUGGGGAGCGAACAGG